This 479-nucleotide ribosomal RNA is filed under the name uncultured bacterium. RNAcentral describes it as "bacterial SSU rRNA". It matches the Rfam family "Bacterial small subunit ribosomal RNA", at positions 359 to 833 of the family's 1533-position model. The record is from RNAcentral.
GAGAUUUUCGCAAUGCCCGAAAGGGUGACGAUGCGACGCCGCGUGGAGGAUGAAGGCCUUCGGGUUGUAAACUCCUGUCAGGGCAAAAGAAGGGGAGGGGAGGAAACUCCCUGACCUUGACUCAGCCCAAAGGAAGCCCCGGCUAACUCCGUGCCAGCAGCAGCGGUAAGACGGAGAGGGCGAGCGUUGUUCUGAAUUACUGGGCGUAAAGAGCGCGUAGGCGGGUCCGUAUGUCAGGGGUGAAAGCCCCCGGCCUAACCGGGGAACUGCCUCUGAAACUGCGGUCCUCGAGUGGAGCAGGGGGGAGUGGAACUCUCGGUGGAGCGGUGAAAUGCGUUGAUAUCGAGGGGAACGUCGGCGGCGAAGGCGACUCCCUAUGCUUCUACUGACGCUGAGGUGCGAAAGCCAGGGGAGCGAACGGGAUUAGAUACCCCGGUAGUCCUAGCCGUAAACGAUGGGCACUAAGUAGAGGGGUUUUA